GACGAACGCUGGCGGCGUGCUUAACACAUGCAAGUCGAACGGAAAGGCCCUGCUUUUGUGGGGUGCUCGAGUGGCGAACGGGUGAGUAACACGUGAGUAACCUGCCCUUGACUUUGGGAUAACUUCAGGAAACUGGGGCUAAUACCGGAUAGGAGCUCCUGCUGCAUGGUGGGGGUUAGAAAGUUUCGGCGGUGGGGGCUGGACUCGCGGCUUAUCAGCUUGUUGGUGGGGUAGUGGCUUACCAAGGCUUUGACGGGUAGCCGGCCUGAGAGGGUGACCGGCCACAUUGGGACUGAGAUACGGCCCAGACUCCUACGGGAGGCAGCAGUGGGGAAUAUUGCACAAUGGGCGGAAGCCUGAUGCAGCAACGCCGCGUGCGGGAUGACGGCCUUCGGGUUGUAAACCGCUUUCGCCUGUGACGAAGCGUGAGUGACGGUAAUGGGUAAAGAAGCACCGGCUAACUACGUG
RNAcentral lists this ribosomal RNA (468 nucleotides) under uncultured bacterium. RNAcentral's name for it is "partial 16S ribosomal RNA". It matches the Rfam family "Bacterial small subunit ribosomal RNA", at positions 28 to 507 of the family's 1533-position model. The record is from RNAcentral.